This 100-nucleotide Y RNA is filed under the name Cebus imitator (Panamanian white-faced capuchin). RNAcentral's name for it is "Y RNA (ENSCCAG00000010117.1)". It matches the Rfam family "Y RNA". From Rfam's summary of the family: Y RNAs are components of the Ro ribonucleoprotein particle (Ro RNP), in association with Ro60 and La proteins. Lineage: Eukaryota; Metazoa; Chordata; Mammalia; Primates; Cebidae. The record is from Rfam by way of RNAcentral.
AGCUGAUCCAAUUGCAGUGGUAUUUACAACUAAUUGGUCAUAACUAGUUUCAGAUUUCUGUUCCUUCUCCAUGCCCACUGCUUCACUUGACUAGCAAAAA